This 260-nucleotide long non-coding RNA is filed under the name Strongylocentrotus purpuratus (purple sea urchin). Its description in RNAcentral is "uncharacterized LOC115923770". The record is from RNAcentral. Lineage: Eukaryota; Metazoa; Echinodermata; Echinoidea; Camarodonta; Strongylocentrotidae.
AGACCUUCCUCACGUUAUCUCUGAGUGACAUUGCAAGGAGAGUUCAUCUACAUGCACCGCAAGAGGCUGAGCAGUAUGUCAGAAAUAUGAUUGAAGAUGGUGACAUCCAUGCAACUAUCAGCAAACAGAAUGGAAUGGUCCAUUUCCAUGACAACCCAGAAAAAUAUGACAAUCCUGCAGUACUCAGACAUGUCGAGGAACAGAUGCAGCAUUGUAUCAGUCUAGAUGAGAAGCUCAAGAGCAUGGAUCAAGAGAUAGCU